Molecule: microRNA precursor, 55 nt
Organism: Gallus gallus (chicken)
Lineage: Eukaryota; Metazoa; Chordata; Aves; Galliformes; Phasianidae
Source: Ensembl
GGCACGCCGGGAUGCAGCGAGGCGCUUCCGCCUCGCUGCAUCCCGGCGUACCCCG